RNAcentral lists this ribosomal RNA (253 nucleotides) under uncultured bacterium. RNAcentral describes it as "partial 16S ribosomal RNA". It matches the Rfam family "Bacterial small subunit ribosomal RNA", at positions 524 to 776 of the family's 1533-position model. The record is from RNAcentral.
UACGUAGGGUGCGAGCGUUAAUCGGAAUUACUGGGCGUAAAGCGUGCGCAGGCGGCGCGUUAAGACAGGUGUGAAAGCCCCGAGCUUAACUUGGGAAUUGCGCUUGUGACUGGCGUGCUGGAGUGUGGCAGAGGGAGGUGGAAUUCCACGUGUGGCAGUGAAAUGCGUAGAGAUGUGGAGGAACACCGAUGGCGAAGGCAGCCUCCUGGGCCAGCACUGACGCUCAUGCACGAAAGCGUGGGGAGCAAACAGG